CCUACGGGGGACAGCAGUAGGGAAUCUUCCACAAUGGGCGCAAGCCUGAUGGAGCAACACCGCGUGAGUGAAGAAGGGUUUCGGCUCGUAAAGCUCUGUUGUUGGAGAAGAACGUGCGUGAGAGUAACUGUUCACGCAGUGACGGUAUCCAACCAGAAAGUCACGGCUAACUACGUGCCAGCAGCCGCGGUAAUACGUAGGUGGCAAGCAUUAUCCGGAUUUAUUGGGCGUAAAGCGAGCGCAGGCGGUUGCUUAGGUCUGAUGUGAAAGCCUUCGGCUUAACCGAAGAAGUGCAUCGGAAACCGGGCGACGUGAGUGCAGAAGAGGACAGUGGAACUCCAUGUGUAGCGGUGAAAUGCGUAGAUAUUAGGAAGAACACCAGUGGCGAAGGCGGAUUACUGGACGACAACUGACGGUGAGGCGCGAAAGCGUGGGGAGCAAACAGGAUUAGAUACCCUUGUAGUC
Molecule: ribosomal RNA, 465 nt
Filed under: uncultured bacterium
Lineage: Bacteria
Description: partial 16S ribosomal RNA
Rfam family: Bacterial small subunit ribosomal RNA
Source: RNAcentral